RNAcentral lists this ribosomal RNA (2645 nucleotides) under Staphylococcus haemolyticus. Its description in RNAcentral is "23S ribosomal RNA". It matches the Rfam family "Bacterial large subunit ribosomal RNA". Lineage: Bacteria; Bacillati; Bacillota; Bacilli; Caryophanales; Staphylococcaceae. The record is from RNAcentral.
GAUUAAGUUAUUAAGGGCGCACGGUGGAUGCCUUGGCACUAGAAGCCGACGAAGGACGUUACUAACGACGAUAUGCUUUGGGUAGCUGUAAGUAAGCGUUGAUCCAGAGAUUUCCGAAUGGGGGAACCCAGCACGAGUUAUGUCGUGUUAUCGACAAGUGAAUUCAUAGCUUGUCAGAAGGCAGACCCGGAGAACUGAAACAUCUUAGUACCCGGAGGAAGAGAAAGAAAAAUCGAUUCCCUGAGUAGCGGCGAGCGAAACGGGAAGAGCCCAAACCAAUAAGCUUGCUUAUUGGGGUUGUAGGACACUCUAUACGGAGUUACAAAGGAAUAUAUUAGACGAAUCAUCUGGAAAGUUGAAUCAAAGAAGGUAAUAAUCCUGUAGUUGAAAAUAUAUUCUCUCUUGAGUGGAUCCUGAGUACGACGGAGCACGUGAAAUUCCGUCGGAAUCUGGGAGGACCAUCUCCUAAGGCUAAAUACUCUCUAGUGACCGAUAGUGAACCAGUACCGUGAGGGAAAGGUGAAAAGUACCCCGGAAGGGGAGUGAAAGAGAACUUGAAACCGUGUGCUUACAAGUAGUCAGAGCCCGUUAAUGGGUGAUGGCGUGCCUUUUGUAGAAUGAACCGGCGAGUUACGAUCUGAUGCAAGGUUAAGCAGGAGAUGUGGAGCCGUAGCGAAAGCGAGUCUGAAUAGGGCGUUGAGUAUUUGGUCGUAGACCCGAAACCAGGUGAUCUACCCAUGGUCAGGUUGAAGUUCAGGUAACACUGAAUGGAGGACCGAACCGACUUACGUUGAAAAGUGAGCGGAUGAACUGUGGGUAGCGGAGAAAUUCCAAUCGAACUUGGAGAUAGCUGGUUCUCUCCGAAAUAGCUUUAGGGCUAGCCUCAAGUGAUGAUUAUUGGAGGUAGAGCACUGUUUGGACGAGGGGCCCCUCUCGGGUUACCGAAUUCAGACAAACUCCGAAUGCCAAUUAAUUUAACUUGGGAGUCAGAACAUGGGUGAUAAGGUCCGUGUUCGAAAGGGAAACAGCCCAGACCACCAGCUAAGGUCCCAAAAUAUAUGUUAAGUGGAAAAGGAUGUGGCGUUGCCCAGACAACUAGGAUGUUGGCUUAGAAGCAGCCAUCAUUUAAAGAGUGCGUAAUAGCUCACUAGUCGAGUGACACUGCGCCGAAAAUGUACCGGGGCUAAACAUAUUACCGAAGCUGUGGAUUGUCCGUAGGACAAUGGUAGGAGAGCGUUCUAAGGGCGUUGAAGCAUGAUCGCAAGGACAUGUGGAGCGCUUAGAAGUGAGAAUGCCGGUGUGAGUAGCGAAAGACGGGUGAGAAUCCCGUCCACCGAUUGACUAAGGUUUCCAGAGGAAGGCUCGUCCGCUCUGGGUUAGUCGGGUCCUAAGCUGAGGCCGACAGGCGUAGGCGAUGGAUAACAGGUUGAUAUUCCUGUACCACCUAGCAUCGUUUUAAUCGAUGGGGGGACGCAGUAGGAUAGGCGAAGCGUACGAUUGGAUUGUACGUCGNNNNNNNNNNNNNNNNNNNNNNNNNNNNNNNNNNNNNNNNNNNNNNNNNNNNNNNNNNNNNNNNNNNNNNNNNNNNNNNNNNNNNNNNNNNNNNNNNUAGUUAGCUUCUGCGAAGCUACGAAUCGAAGCCCCAGUAAACGGCGGCCGUAACUAUAACGGUCCUAAGGUAGCGAAAUUCCUUGUCGGGUAAGUUCCGACCCGCACGAAAGGCGUAACGAUUUGGGCACUGUCUCAACGAGAGACUCGGUGAAAUCAUAGUACCUGUGAAGAUGCAGGUUACCCGCGACAGGACGGAAAGACCCCGUGGAGCUUUACUGUAGCCUGAUAUUGAAAUUCGGCACAGCUUGUACAGGAUAGGUAGGAGCCUUUGAAACGUGAGCGCUAGCUUACGUGGAGGCGCUGGUGGGAUACUACCCUAGCUGUGUUGGCUUUCUAACCCGCACCACUUAUCGUGGUGGGAGACAGUGUCAGGCGGGCAGUUUGACUGGGGCGGUCGCCUCCUAAAAGGUAACGGAGGCGCUCAAAGGUUCCCUCAGAAUGGUUGGAAAUCAUUCAUAGAGUGUAAAGGCAUAAGGGAGCUUGACUGCGAGACCUACAAGUCGAGCAGGGUCGAAAGACGGACUUAGUGAUCCGGUGGUUCCGCAUGGAAGGGCCAUCGCUCAACGGAUAAAAGCUACCCCGGGGAUAACAGGCUUAUCUCCCCCAAGAGUUCACAUCGACGGGGAGGUUUGGCACCUCGAUGUCGGCUCAUCGCAUCCUGGGGCUGUAGUCGGUCCCAAGGGUUGGGCUGUUCGCCCAUUAAAGCGGUACGCGAGCUGGGUUCAGAACGUCGUGAGACAGUUCGGUCCCUAUCCGUCGUGGGCGUAGGAAAUUUGAGAGGAGCUGUCCUUAGUACGAGAGGACCGGGAUGGACAUACCUCUGGUGUACCAGUUGUCGUGCCAACGGCAUAGCUGGGUAGCUAUGUAUGGACGGGAUAAGUGCUGAAAGCAUCUAAGCAUGAAGCCCCCCUCAAGAUGAGAUUUCCCAACUUCGGUUAUAAGAUCCCUCAAAGAUGAUGAGGUUAAUAGGUUCGAGGUGGAAGCGUGGUGACACGUGGAGCUGACGAAUACUAAUCGAUCGAAGACUUAAUCAA